AGUGAACGCUGGCGGUAGGCCUAACACAUGCAAGUCGAACGGCAGCACAGUAAGAGCUUGCUCUUACGGGUGGCGAGUGGCGGACGGGUGAGGAAUACAUCGGAAUCUACUUUUUCGUGGGGGAUAACGUAGGGAAACUUACGCUAAUACCGCAUACGACCUACGGGUGAAAGCAGGGGAUCUUCGGACCUUGCGCGAUUGAAUGAGCCGAUGUCGGAUUAGCUAGUUGGCGGGGUAAAGGCCCACCAAGGCGACGAUCCGUAGCUGGUCUGAGAGGAUGAUGAGCCACACUGGAGCUGAGACACGGUCCAGACUCCUACGGGAGGCAGCAGUGGGGAAUAUUGGACAAUGGGCGAAAGCCUGAUCCAGCCAUACCGCGUGGGUGAAGAAGGCCUUCGGGUUGUAAAGCCCUUUUGUUGGGAAAGAAAAGCAGCAGGUUAAUACCCCGCUGUUCUGACGGUACCCAAAGAAUAAGCACCGGCUAACUUCGUG
Molecule: ribosomal RNA, 492 nt
Filed under: uncultured bacterium
Lineage: Bacteria
Description: partial 16S ribosomal RNA
Rfam family: Bacterial small subunit ribosomal RNA
Source: RNAcentral